GACGAACGCUGGCGGCGUGCUUAACACAUGCAAGUCGAACGCUGAAGCUCAGCUUGCUGGGUGGAUGAGUGGCGAACGGGUGAGUAACACGUGAGUAACCUGCCCUCUUCUUUGGGAUAACGCCCGGAAACGGGUGCUAAUACUGGAUAUUCACUGAUUCUCGCAUGGGGGUUGGUGGAAAGGUUUUUUCUGGUGGGGGAUGGGCUCGCGGCCUAUCAGCUUGUUGGUGGGGUGAUGGCCUACCAAGGCUUUGACGGGUAGCCGGCCUGAGAGGGUGACCGGUCACAUUGGGACUGAGAUACGGCCCAGACUCCUACGGGAGGCAGCAGUGGGGAAUAUUGCACAAUGGGCGAAAGCCUGAUGCAGCGACGCCGCGUGAGGGAGGGAGGCCUUCGGGUUGUAAACCUCUUUCGCUCAUGGUCAAGCCGCAGCUUGGGGUUGUGGUGAGGGUAGUGGGUAAAGAAGCGCCGGCUAACUACGUG
Molecule: ribosomal RNA, 482 nt
Filed under: uncultured bacterium
Lineage: Bacteria
Description: partial 16S ribosomal RNA
Rfam family: Bacterial small subunit ribosomal RNA
Source: RNAcentral